This 90-nucleotide ribosomal RNA is filed under the name uncultured bacterium. RNAcentral describes it as "partial 16S ribosomal RNA". The record is from RNAcentral.
UAAAGCUCUUUUGGCAGGGAAGAAACGGUUGCGAUGAAUAUCCGCGACUACUGACGGUACCUGCAGAAUAAGCACCGGCUAACUACGUGC